Molecule: ribosomal RNA, 253 nt
Filed under: uncultured bacterium
Lineage: Bacteria
Description: partial 16S ribosomal RNA
Rfam family: Bacterial small subunit ribosomal RNA
Source: RNAcentral
UACGUAGGGUCCGAGCGUUAAUCGGAAUUACUGGGCGUAAAGCGCGCGUAGGCGGCUUUGUAAGUUAGAGGUGAAAGCCCGGAGCUCAACUCCGGAACUGCCUUUAAAACUGCAUCGCUUGAAUCCAGGAGAGGUGAGUGGAAUUCCGAGUGUAGAGGUGAAAUUCGUAGAUAUUCGGAAGAACACCAGUGGCGAAGGCGGCUCACUGGACUGGUAUUGACGCUGAGGUGCGAAAGCGUGGGGAGCAAACAGG